GACGGAGUGGCCGAGUGGUUAAGGCGUUAGUUUCAGGUACUAAUAUCAUCAGAUUCGUGGGUUCGAAUCCCACCUUCGUCA
RNAcentral lists this transfer RNA (81 nucleotides) under Strongyloides stercoralis. It matches the Rfam family "tRNA". Rfam says of the family: Transfer RNA (tRNA) molecules are approximately 80 nucleotides in length. Their secondary structure includes four short double-helical elements and three loops (D, anti-codon, and T loops). Lineage: Eukaryota; Metazoa; Nematoda; Chromadorea; Rhabditida; Strongyloididae. The record is from Rfam by way of RNAcentral.